ACCCGCACUAGUUCUCAUCUGACGAGGGGGGCGCUGCACCUGCGGGGACAGGCGCUGCCCCGACCCAGCGCCUCCCCCGGCCCAAUGGAACAAGAAGACGGAUCGGCAGCUGCUGCUGCGGAGCAACAGGCGGGCGGAGCAGAGCAGCAGCUCGCAGAUCUCGAUCUCCUCCACCACUUCAAGCGAGUCCUCCACUCCGACCCCCUCAUCGAUGAGGUGGGUUUCUUGCAUCCCACACAGUUCAACUCACUAGGCUGCGGCCAGGACGGCGAUUCCGCACCCCCAAGCUCCGGAAUUGCAGCGCAGAUACUUCUGGUGCCGAGACCACAAGCUUGCCAUCUCUGCCGAGAUCCUGCCCGAGCUCUACCGCGCCGCCCGCGAUGCCUACUGCAGCUCCAGAAACGCUCCACUACCAGCGUCUCAUCUGAUGAGCCACACCAAGGCGCUUCUCAUACUUUGCCCUGACCUGCUUACCGCAUGGAACUCCAGGAAGAUGGUUCUGUUGGAGAAAUAUGAUUUCACAAAGAUCAAGGAUGAGCUGCAACUGUGUGCACUGAUCCUUUCCUACUCACCAAAGAACGAGAGCACAUGGAGCCAUAGGAGGUGGGUGUUAAAACAAGUUGCAGAGCAUCAUCAAGAUAUGACAGAGCUUGUAGAGAAGGAAUCUGUACUAGUGAAAGAGAUAGCAGAGAGGUCAAAGAUGAACUACCGUGCCUGGAGACAUCGCUGCUGGCUUAUUCCUUACAUGACAAGGAAACAGGUGCUGGAUGAACUGAAGAAGUCAACAAGAUGGAGUGAGUUACAUGUUGCUGACAACUGCUGCUUUCACUACCGCAGGUCUCUGCUUCUUGCACUACUAGACGUUCGCCUAGAGAACAGAGAGGAUUCCCUCAGUUGGGAGUCAGAAACCUACCUGCUCUGGAAGGAGGAGCUGAGGUGGAACGAGAUGCUGAUCAGACGCCACCAAGGGAGAGAGUCACUGUGGAACCACCGGCGGUUCCUUUUGCAGUGGUGGAUACAGCAAUUGCUUGCUGUUGAUGAAACCCGCUCCUCAAUGACAUUCCAGGUGGAUCUGUUCAUCACCCAGGAGAUAUGCCUGCUGUCAGAGUGCUUGAAUGAGCCUGCAGAUGAGUUCGAAGAGUCACGUGUCCAAGCAGAGCUCUCAGCGCUCUACAUUCUGUGGAUAUCAAAGCAAGUUCCGGCUGUGAAUGGGAAGCUGAAAGAGAGGCUGCAUUCCGUUUCCAUUAUGGGGCUGAAGGACCUGCUGGUAAGAGCCUGCCGACCGGAGAAGACGAGGCUGUGGAUGAAUGUGCUCGGUCUGGCCGAUCCAUUACAAUGACGACAUGACAUUUCUUAUUGACAUUGAGGGUGUCUGCUGCCUCGAGUCCUCGACUGCCGUUGUAACGAAACACAUGUAUUGCAUUUUGUAACCAAACACACACAUGUAGAUCUCAACCAUUUGGUUCGGGUCCUUUGUAAUUGCAAACCAGACUAAACAGGGGGUUGGGAUUGCCGGCAACUCGUUACAGGCAAAUAGGUGGUGUGAUAAUGUUAGCAAGGCAAAAUUGGGCAUUUAAAUAAAGAGAUAAAUUUAACAAACA
This is an RNA transcript of Panicum virgatum (switchgrass), 1601 nucleotides long. It is a transcript of the gene named protein prenyltransferase alpha subunit repeat-containing protein 1-B-like, with no coding region annotated. Lineage: Eukaryota; Viridiplantae; Streptophyta; Magnoliopsida; Poales; Poaceae. The record is from RefSeq and is a predicted model, not a curated record. The transcript has 10 exons.